CCAUCGGCGGUUCAGUGGUAGAAUGCUCGCCUGCCACGCGGCCGGCCCGGGUUCGAUUCCCGGCCGAUGCA
This 71-nucleotide transfer RNA is filed under the name Cordylochernes scorpioides. RNAcentral's name for it is "tRNA-Gly". It matches the Rfam family "tRNA". From Rfam's summary of the family: Transfer RNA (tRNA) molecules are approximately 80 nucleotides in length. Their secondary structure includes four short double-helical elements and three loops (D, anti-codon, and T loops). Further hydrogen bonds mediate the characteristic L-shaped molecular structure. tRNAs have two regions of fundamental functional importance: the anti-codon, which is responsible for specific mRNA codon recognition, and the 3' end, to which the tRNAs corresponding amino acid is attached (by aminoacyl-tRNA synthetases). tRNAs cope with the degeneracy of the genetic code in two manners: having more than one tRNA (with a specific anti-codon) for a particular amino acid; and 'wobble' base-pairing, i.e. permitting non-standard base-pairing at the 3rd anti-codon position. Lineage: Eukaryota; Metazoa; Arthropoda; Arachnida; Pseudoscorpiones; Chernetidae. The record is from RNAcentral.